AGCGAACGCUGGCGGCAGGCCUAACACAUGCAAGUCGAACGAACCUUUCGGGGUUAGUGGCGGACGGGUGAGUAACACGUGGGAACGUGCCUUUAGGUUCGGAAUAACUCAGGGAAACUUGUGCUAAUACCGAAUGUGCCCUUCGGGGGAAAGAUUUAUCGCCUUUAGAGCGGCCCGCGUCUGAUUAGCUAGUUGGUUGAGGUAAUGGCUCACCAAGGCGACGAUCAGUAGCUGGUCUGAGAGGAUGAUCAGCCACAUUGGGACUGAGACACGGCCCAAACUCCUACGGGAGGCAGCAGUGGGGAAUCUUGCGCAAUGGGCGAAAGCCUGACGCAGCCAUGCCGCGUGAAUGAUGAAGGUCUUAGGAUUGUAAAAUUCUUUCACCGGGGACGAUAAUGACGGUACGCGGAGAAGAAGCCCCGGCUAACUUCGUG
RNAcentral lists this ribosomal RNA (434 nucleotides) under uncultured bacterium. RNAcentral describes it as "partial 16S ribosomal RNA". It matches the Rfam family "Bacterial small subunit ribosomal RNA", at positions 29 to 507 of the family's 1533-position model. The record is from RNAcentral.